AGAAGGUGGAUUCACUAGGCCACUGCGGGAGAUAGGUAUUUAACUUCCUAAUGAACCAUGAAAAUGAAUACAAAAAGUGCCCAUUUCAUUGAAAUUCCCAAAACAAAUCAAAAACUAGCUGAACGUUACUCCCACAAAAUAAACAAGAUUGGAGGUUUUGAUCCAUUUGCCAUUUAAGAAAGAGAUAUACGAGGUUACAGUCCUGAUGGAAUAUUAUGAUAUUGUGGUUUUUCUAGUUUUCACGACCAGUUUUUAAACAAAUCAGCAAAUGAAAGCCUACAAAUGCUCGCAUUAUAUCUGGGUUUUGCUGUUUGAAACAAAAUAUUCUGUGAGAAGUUUUUCACAAAAGGGUCAGUACAGAUGAAUAGGUGUACAUGUAGAGAAGGGAAAAAUGACCAUUUUUAUGAUAAAAUGCUGCUAUGAGGAUUGUGAAAUAUAUUGGAUCCGAUCCAUGCGGAAAGUGUUGGGCUGACCAUUGUUCCUGACCAUUCGUUCAGCGUUUGUACAAGCAAUUUACACAUGGAUCGAAUAGUUUUUUAAAAUGUAUAUACAUAAUAUGAUGUAAUGUGGUUGUAUUAAAUAAUCUC
Molecule: long non-coding RNA, 587 nt
Organism: Coccinella septempunctata (seven-spotted ladybird)
Lineage: Eukaryota; Metazoa; Arthropoda; Insecta; Coleoptera; Coccinellidae
Exons: 2
Source: RefSeq, a predicted model, not a curated record